Molecule: ribosomal RNA, 550 nt
Filed under: uncultured bacterium
Lineage: Bacteria
Description: bacterial SSU rRNA
Rfam family: Bacterial small subunit ribosomal RNA
Source: RNAcentral
UAGGGAAUCUUCGGCAAUGGGGGCAACCCUGACCGAGCAACGCCGCGUGAGUGAAGAAGGUUUUCGGAUCGUAAAGCUCUGUUGUAAGUCAAGAACGAGUGUGAGAGUGGAAAGUUCACACUGUGACGGUAGCUUACCAGAAAGGGACGGCUAACUACGUGCCAGCAGCCGCGGUAAUACGUAGGUCCCGAGCGUUGUCCGGAUUUAUUGGGCGUAAAGCGAGCGCAGGCGGUUUGAUAAGUCUGAAGUUAAAGGCUGUGGCUCAACCAUAGUUCGCUUUGGAAACUGUCAAACUUGAGUGCAGAAGGGGAGAGUGGAAUUCCAUGUGUAGCGGUGAAAUGCGUAGAUAUAUGGAGGAACACCGGUGGCGAAAGCGGCUCUCUGGUCUGUAACUGACGCUGAGGCUCGAAAGCGUGGGGAGCGAACAGGAUUAGAUACCCUGGUAGUCCACGCCGUAAACGAUGAGUGCUAGGUGUUGGAUCCUUUCCGGGAUUCAGUGCCGCAGCUAACACAUUAAGCACUCCGCCUGGGGAGUACGACCGCAAGGUUG